GUACCCGUAGCUUUCUCGCAUUCAGUUGCAAGGGGGAGGGGAAUGGGUCCCCUCCGGUUGCGUGUACAGAAGG
RNAcentral lists this small RNA (73 nucleotides) under Atopobium sp. RNAcentral's name for it is "Corio-PBP RNA". It matches the Rfam family "Corio-PBP RNA". RNAcentral also lists the same sequence under 5 other names. Lineage: Bacteria; Bacillati; Actinomycetota; Coriobacteriia; Coriobacteriales; Atopobiaceae. The record is from RNAcentral.